GGGUCACGUAGGUUGGUCGUGCCACCGGUACGUACUGGUCUCACUGAUUCCUCCUUCCUGAAGAACCGUAAUGCCAUUAAUUUGGUGUUGCGGGGAAACAGGACUGUUACUUUGAAAAAAUUAGAGUGUUUAAAGCAAGCUAACGCUUGAAUACAUUAGCAUGGAAUAAUGAAAUAGGACGAUCGAUCCUAUUUUGUUGGUUUCUAGGAUUGACGUAAUGAUUAAUAGGGAUAGUUG
Molecule: ribosomal RNA, 237 nt
Filed under: uncultured Glomeromycotina
Lineage: Eukaryota; Fungi; Glomeromycota
Description: partial 18S ribosomal RNA
Rfam family: Eukaryotic small subunit ribosomal RNA (bases 41-237)
Source: RNAcentral